Molecule: ribosomal RNA, 497 nt
Filed under: uncultured bacterium
Lineage: Bacteria
Description: partial 16S ribosomal RNA
Rfam family: Bacterial small subunit ribosomal RNA
Source: RNAcentral
GAUGAACGCUGGCGGCGUGCCUAAUACAUGCAAGUCGAGCGAACAGACGAUGAGCUUGCUCCUCUGACGUUAGCGGCGGACGGGUGAGUAAGACGUGGAUAACCUACCUAUAUUACUGGGAGAACUUCGGGAAACCAGAGCUACUACUAGAUAAUAUAAUUUACCGCAUGAUUCAGUAGAUAUACACGGUUUUGCCGUCACUUAUAGACGGAUCGAUGUUGGAUUAGCUAGUUGGUAAGGUAACGGCCCACCAAGGCGACGAUCCGUAGCUGGUCUGAGAGGAUGAUCAGCCACACUGGAACUGAGACACGGUCCAGACUCCUACGGGAGGCAGCAGUGGGGAAUAUUGGACAAUGGGCGCAAGCCUGAUCCAGCCAUACCGCGUGGGUGAAGAAGGCCUUCGGGUUGUAAAGCCCUUUUGUUGGGAAAGAAAAGCAGCAGGUUAAUACCCCGCUGUUCUGACGGUACCCAAAGAAUAAGCACCGGCUAACUUCGUG